This 731-nucleotide ribosomal RNA is filed under the name Streptomyces sp. SCAUK0310. RNAcentral describes it as "bacterial SSU rRNA". It matches the Rfam family "Bacterial small subunit ribosomal RNA", at positions 112 to 854 of the family's 1533-position model. Lineage: Bacteria; Bacillati; Actinomycetota; Actinomycetes; Kitasatosporales; Streptomycetaceae. The record is from RNAcentral.
AACACGUGGGCAAUCUGCCCUGCACUCUGGGACAAGCCCUGGAAACGGGGUCUAAUACCGGAUACUGACCCGCCUGGGCAUCCAGGCGGUUCGAAAGCUCCGGCGGUGCAGGAUGAGCCCGCGGCCUAUCAGCUUGUUGGUGAGGUAACGGCUCACCAAGGCGACGACGGGUAGCCGGCCUGAGAGGGCGACCGGCCACACUGGGACUGAGACACGGCCCAGACUCCUACGGGAGGCAGCAGUGGGGAAUAUUGCACAAUGGGCGCAAGCCUGAUGCAGCGACGCCGCGUGAGGGAUGACGGCCUUCGGGUUGUAAACCUCUUUCAGCAGGGAAGAAGCGCAAGUGACGGUACCUGCAGAAGAAGCGCCGGCUAACUACGUGCCAGCAGCCGCGGUAAUACGUAGGGCGCGAGCGUUGUCCGGAAUUAUUGGGCGUAAAGAGCUCGUAGGCGGCUUGUCGCGUCGGUUGUGAAAGCCCGGGGCUUAACCCCGGGUCUGCAGUCGAUACGGGCAGGCUAGAGUUCGGUAGGGGAGAUCGGAAUUCCUGGUGUAGCGGUGAAAUGCGCAGAUAUCAGGAGGAACACCGGUGGCGAAGGCGGAUCUCUGGGCCGAUACUGACGCUGAGGAGCGAAAGCGUGGGGAGCGAACAGGAUUAGAUACCCUGGUAGUCCACGCCGUAAACGGUGGGCACUAGGUGUGGGCGACAUUCCACGUCGUCCGUGCCGCAGCUA